Molecule: non-coding RNA, 510 nt
Organism: Tachysurus vachellii
Lineage: Eukaryota; Metazoa; Chordata; Actinopteri; Siluriformes; Bagridae
Source: the annotation of a RefSeq genome assembly
AUGUUCACUGUUAUACUGAUGUGCCUGUGGCUUUCACUAAGUGACUCCAUGGCAGAUCCAAUAAAGCCACUUUUCACUCAUAAAGUUGUAGAUGAAGGUGAUGAUGUUACUCUGUCCUGCAGCUACAAAGGCUUCAGUGGUGUUGUACAGAGUCUGUUCUGGUACAAACAAUAUCCAAAAUCUAAUCCUGAGCUUCUUCUUUACAUCCUGCCAAGUGGAGAUAAAAGUAACCCUCUUCCACCACGUCUGGAUGCUAAGGUUGAUGAUAAAGAUAAAAAACAAGUGGAUCUGAUCAUCUCCUCUGCUGCUGUAUCAGACUCUGCUCUAUACUACUGUGCUCUGGUGCCCACAGUGACAGGAAACCCAGCUGCACUGUACAUAAACUACCACACAAUGCUGUCAUCUGCCCCUGUAAACAAGACACUCACCAUACCCUCAGCAGGGGAUACAGCUAGAGACAUGUUGCGCUGCAGCAGGUUUUGGAGUGUUCAUCAGCUCUUGGACUGCUGA